CACGGUUGGUGGCGCACUUCCUGAUAGCGGGCGGUGUAUGAACAGCUGUAAUCAGCCAAACGAUACCCGGCCCGCCUGUUAAGCGGGCUUUUUUUU
Regulatory RNA element from Salmonella enterica subsp. enterica serovar Typhimurium, 96 nucleotides. It matches the Rfam family "Tryptophan operon leader". From Rfam's summary of the family: At least 6 amino acid operons are known to be regulated by attenuation. In each a leader sequence of 150-200 bp is found upstream of the first gene in the operon. This leader sequence can assume two different secondary structures known as the terminator and the anti-terminator structure. The record is from Rfam. Lineage: Bacteria; Pseudomonadati; Pseudomonadota; Gammaproteobacteria; Enterobacterales; Enterobacteriaceae.